RNAcentral lists this ribosomal RNA (1345 nucleotides) under uncultured bacterium. Its description in RNAcentral is "bacterial SSU rRNA". It matches the Rfam family "Bacterial small subunit ribosomal RNA", at positions 28 to 1381 of the family's 1533-position model. The record is from RNAcentral.
GACGAACGCUGGCGGCGUGCUUAACACAUGCAAGUCGAACGGAAAGGCCCUGCUUUUGUGGGGUGCUCGAGUGGCGAACGGGUGAGUAACACGUGAGUAACCUGCCCUUGACUUUGGGAUAACUUCAGGAAACUGGGGCUAAUACCGGAUAGGAGCUCCUGCUGCAUGGUGGGGGUUGGAAAGUUUCGGCGGUUGGGGAUGGACUCGCGGCUUAUCAGCUUGUUGGUGGGGUAGUGGCUUACCAAGGCUUUGACGGGUAGCCGGCCUGAGAGGGUGACCGGCCACAUUGGGACUGAGAUACGGCCCAGACUCCUACGGGAGGCAGCAGUGGGGAAUAUUGCACAAUGGGCGGAAGCCUGAUGCAGCAACGCCGCGUGCGGGAUGACGGCCUUCGGGUUGUAAACCGCUUUCGCCUGUGACGAAGCGUGAGUGACGGUAAUGGGUAAAGAAGCACCGGCUAACUACGUGCCAGCAGCCGCGGUGAUACGUAGGGUGCGAGCGUUGUCCGGAUUUAUUGGGCGUAAAGGGCUCGUAGGUGGUUGAUCGCGUCGGAAGUGUAAUCUUGGGGCUUAACCCUGAGCGUGCUUUCGAUACGGGUUGACUUGAGGAAGGUAGGGGAGAAUGGAAUUCCUGGUGGAGCGGUGGAAUGCGCAGAUAUCAGGAGGAACACCAGUGGCGAAGGCGGUUCUCUGGGCCUUUCCUGACGCUGAGGAGCGAAAGCGUGGGGAGCGAACAGGCUUAGAUACCCUGGUAGUCCACGCUGUAAACGGUGGGUACUAGGUGUGGGGUCCAUUCCACGGGUUCCGUGCCGUAGCUAACGCUUUAAGUACCCCGCCUGGGGAGUACGGCCGCAAGGCUAAAACUCAAAGGAAUUGACGGGGCCCCGCACAAGCGGCGGAGCAUGCGGAUUAAUUCGAUGCAACGCGUAGAACCUUACCUGGGUUUGACAUGGAUCGGGAGUGCUCAGAGAUGGGUGUGCCUCUUUUGGGGUCGGUUCACAGGUGGUGCAUGCCUGUCGUCAGCUCGUGUCGUGAGAUGUUGGGUUAAGUCCCGCAACGAGCGCAACCCUUGUUCACUGUUGCCAGCACGUUAUGGUGGGGACUCAGUGGAGACCGCCGGGGUCAACUCGGAGGAAGGUGGGGAUGACGUCGAGUCCUCAUGCCCCUUAUGUCCAGGGCUUCACGCAUGCUACAAUGGCUGGUACAGAGAGUGGCGAGCCUGUGAGGGUGAGCGAAUCUCGGAAAGCCGGUCUCAGUUCGGAUUGGGGUCUGCAACUCGACCUCAUGAAGUCGGAGUCGCUAGUAAUCGCAGAUCAGCAACGCUGCGGUAAAAAGUUCCCGGGGCU